CAAUAGCGUAUAUUAAAGUUGUUGCAGUUAAAAAGCUCGUAGUUGGAUUUCUGGUUGAAGCGACCGGUCGGGCGUUGAUUCGUCUGCACUGGAGUCGGUUUUGGCCAUCCUCUAGGAAAGUGCGUCUGGUAUUAAGUUAUCGGGCGUAUGAUCCUGGUCUUUUACUGUGAAAAAAUUAGAGUGUUUAAAGCAGGCCUUCGCCUUGAAUACAUUAGCAUGGAAUAAUAAGAUAGGACUUUGGUCUAUUUUGUUGGUUUGCAGACCGAAGUAAUGAUUAAUAGGGAUAGUUGGGGGUAUUUAUAUUCCGAUGUCAGAGGUGAAAUUCUUAGAUUUUCGGAAGAUAAACUUAUACGAAAGCAUUUACCAAGGAUGUUUUCAUUAA
This 382-nucleotide ribosomal RNA is filed under the name uncultured eukaryote. RNAcentral's name for it is "partial 18S ribosomal RNA". It matches the Rfam family "Eukaryotic small subunit ribosomal RNA", at positions 592 to 976 of the family's 1831-position model. The record is from RNAcentral.